UCCUGGCACUGUGAAGUGCCUCUGGUGUUCUGUGUUGACAGGUUUUUAUGGGGUGGUAACAAAGGAGGUAGGGGUGGUGAUGAGGGAGAAAGCAGUGGGAUGGGAGGUGCUACAGCAGAGAACUAAUCCUUUAAAGAGACUCCAGAUUCUUUAAUGCAGCAACAGGAGGAAAAUAUUAGAUUUCACCAUCAAAGCAAAACUAGAAGUAUUCCAGUUGUCUUUUAAAUUUGGAAACUAAUAUAUAAAGAAACAUAGAAGUCUCCUGCCUCAUCCCUGCUUUUGAACUGAGUCUUCUCAGUGGCAACUGCAUCACAGCAGCUUCUGCUAAUGCAAGAUUAAAGACAGAAAGCCUCCUUUAUGCUGUAUAAGUGAGUCCUAUAUUCUAUUUGUACACCAUCAUUCAGUAUGUCCAGAAUAUUUUCUUUCCCCAGUGUGUGUGUCUCUAUUCACCUAGACAGAGUUGUGAACCCGAACAAUUCUCAGCUGUGAGAUUUUUCUUGUAUAAGUGAUGAAAUGGAGAAAAGUCUAUUCUGGAAACCAGUUCAAGAAGCUUCUUCAGCACGUACAAUUUUCUGUGAACGACGAAAGAAAGAGUGAUUUCAUAAACUACUAUCACAUUGACUAUAAAUCAACUUCUCCAGACUUGUGUCCUAAGUGGUUUGCCAAAACAGUGGAAAUUUUAGAGAAUACAGACAAUUUACAGAAAAAAAUCUCUA
Molecule: long non-coding RNA, 716 nt
Organism: Neopelma chrysocephalum (saffron-crested tyrant-manakin)
Lineage: Eukaryota; Metazoa; Chordata; Aves; Passeriformes; Pipridae
Exons: 6
Source: RefSeq, a predicted model, not a curated record